RNAcentral lists this long non-coding RNA (1805 nucleotides) under Homo sapiens (human). RNAcentral describes it as "non-protein coding lnc-NEURL1-2:1". The record is from RNAcentral. Lineage: Eukaryota; Metazoa; Chordata; Mammalia; Primates; Hominidae.
CCCUGAGACUGCUUUUUCCCACGGUUGCUAAGCUGGCAGGAUGAAAGCCUGGCACCUCUAGUGGCCUGGGAAGCAAACGGAAUGAGAGAAAGGAAGGGUGAUUAACUCAGUCCUGAAAGCGGAGAAGAAGCUGUGCAGCUGCGACGUCUAAGCAGUAACUGGAGGUCCUUCUUCCUGCCACUCUGGGCUGGGCUGGGGUGAGACCAGCGAAGGAGUGGGGGCCUCCGGUGGGAGUCUGGUAUCAACUUUUUCCUGGAGAAUGGUACAGUGAGCCUUAUUAACCAUUCACACCUGAGUAUGAGCAGGCACCGGCUUCUCACUCAAUAACAGGGUCUCGCUAGGGAAGAGAGCAUAGAGCAGAGAGGCCUUGAUGGAACUGGAUGUAAUGGGCAGGGGAGAAGAACGGCGGAACAGCCUCUACUGGCUCCCCUGUCUUCCUGAAAGCUGGCCCUGCUCUUGAUGUUCAGCUGUUUCCUGACCAUGGGGCCACCCAGCUUUCACCUGGGUUAGCCCUGCCUAGGCUAGGGUGGGAGUGGCUGAAUGGCAGGCCCCUGCUUGUCUUUUUUUUUUUUUUUUGCGACAGAGUUUCGCUCUUGUUGCCCAGGCUGGAGUGCAAUGGCAUGAUCUCGGCUCACCGCAACCUCCACCUCCCGGGUUCAAGCGAUUCUCCUGCCUCAGCCUCCCUAGUAGCUGGGAUUACAGGUAUGUGCCACCACACCUGGCUAAUUUUGUAUUUUUAGUAGAGAUGGGGUUUCUCCAUGUUGGUCAGGCUGGUCUCGAACUCCCGACCUCAGGUGAUCCGCCCGCCUCAGCCUCCCAAAGUGCUGGGAUUACAGGCAUGAGCCACCGCACCUGGCCCCUGCUUGUCUUUUUAAGUGCUGCCCCUGAAACUCACAUGUCACCUCUGACCCUCUGCAGCCUGGGGACUGCAGGUCACCUCUUCCCCUGCUGGGCUGCCUCCAGCUUCUGGUGCAGCUGAGAUGACAUCCCCAGAGUCUACAGCCUUGUACCUGGCUCAGAUCACACCCUGACACCCAAUCCUUCCUUCUUCACUUGCAACAUCUGGCUUUGUUGCCAUUUACUUGGGCUGGGGGAAGGCAGGAGUGAGGCCUAGAUGCUGAGGCUGGAAGCAGUGGGCACAUGCAGGUUCCGGAAAGACACAAUCCCCAUAGCGAAGGUCAGCAGCCUGAGGCAUACUGACACCAUGCCCUGAGUUCUGGCUCCCAUGAAUCUCUCUUUAGAGCCAAGAUGCUGCCUCUGGCUUGAAGUCUAGCAUGGUAGACAUUGGUAGGUUUUGUCUGCCAGCUUUUAAUUAUUACAGUGCCCGAUUUUCUUUUGGGAAACAAUCCCUCCUUCAUUCUCAGUCCAUGGGAUUUCAGUGGGGUUGAUCCCAUCCCAAACUCUGGGGCUGAUCAUUAAGUACAGUCCAGCCAUGGGCAUGCAACCCACAUUGGUCCAGUGGGAAUCAGCCUGGGACUACUGCUGGAACUACCAGGAAGAGAUGUGUUCUCUCUCUACAGCUGCUAACUCAUAAAUGCCAAGCCCCAAGCUGCUAGGAAGCAUCUUUAUGUAUCUCUGUUACCACCUGGGGGAAGCCUAUCAGAGAAUUAAGUCAACAGAAAAGACAGCAAAGCUGAGGGCUUAAGAGACACAGAUUUGGUCCCCUAGAUCCAGCUAUGCCUGAAACCAUUACUCUUGGUUUUCAGUUAUGUGAACCAAUAAGUUUCCCCUUUUUUCUUAAGCCAGAUUGAGAUGGGUCUAUUUCUUGUCACCAGGAGAGUCCUGACUGGUACAUCUGGCUCUGC